This 847-nucleotide ribosomal RNA is filed under the name Acinetobacter baumannii. RNAcentral's name for it is "partial 23S ribosomal RNA". It matches the Rfam family "Bacterial large subunit ribosomal RNA", at positions 1 to 850 of the family's 2925-position model. Lineage: Bacteria; Pseudomonadati; Pseudomonadota; Gammaproteobacteria; Moraxellales; Moraxellaceae. The record is from RNAcentral.
UGGUCAAGUUAUUAAGGGUGCAGGGCGGAUGCCUUGGCACUAGGAGCCGAUGAAGGACGUGAUAAGCUGCGAUAAGCUUCGGGGAGUUGCACGUAAACUUUGAUCCGAAGAUUUCCGAAUGAGGAAACUCACUUAGAGUAAUGUCUAAGUAUCGUUAAGUGAAUACAUAGCUUAGCGAGGGGAACCCGGGGAACUGAAACAUCUAAGUACCCGGAGGAAGAGAAAGAAAUUCGAUUCCGUAAGUAGCGGCGAGCGAACGCGGAACAGGCCAAACCAAUGAAGUUUACUUCGUUGGGGUUGCGGACAUACAACAUGGAUGCAAUAUCGUAAAUGAAGAGAGUUGGAAAGCUCCGCCAUAGAAGGUAAUAGCCCUGUAGUUGAAACGAGAAAGCUACUAGUAUGAUCCAGAGUACCACGGGACACGUGAAACCCUGUGGGAAGCAGGAGGGACCAUCCUCCAAGCCUAAAUACUACCUAGUGACCGAUAGCGCAUAGUACCGUGAGGGAAAGGUGAAAAGAACCCCGGGAGGGGAGUGAAAUAGAACCUGAAACCCUGCACUUACAAGCUGUGGGAGCACAUUACUUGUGUGACCGCGUACUUUUUGUAGAACGGGCCAACGAGUUACGUUAAGUAGCAAGGUUAAGCACUUAAGGUGUGGAGCCGUAGCGAAAGCGAGUCUUAAAUGGGCGAUUAAGUUACUUGGCGUAGACCCGAAACCGGGCGACCUAUCCAUGAGCAGGUUGAAGCGAAAGUAAAAUUUCGUGGAGGACCGAACCCACGAGCGUUGAAAAGCUCGGGGAUGACUUGUGGAUAGCGGUGAAAUUCCAAUCGAGCCCGGAGAUAGCU